Molecule: RNase P RNA, 388 nt
Filed under: Deltaproteobacteria bacterium
Lineage: Bacteria; Pseudomonadati; Myxococcota; Myxococcia
Description: RNase P RNA component class A
Rfam family: Bacterial RNase P class A
About the family: Ribonuclease P (RNase P) is a ubiquitous endoribonuclease, found in archaea, bacteria and eukarya as well as chloroplasts and mitochondria. Its best characterised activity is the generation of mature 5'-ends of tRNAs by cleaving the 5'-leader elements of precursor-tRNAs. Cellular RNase Ps are ribonucleoproteins.
Source: RNAcentral
AAGCUGGGCCAGAAGAUCGCGUCCAGAAAUCCUGGCAGGAUUUCUGGGUGAGGAAAGUCCGGACACCAAAGGGUACGAUGCAGGUUAACGACCUGGCGUUGUGAGGCGACGGAAAGUGCAACAGAAAGUAUGUAUGGUUCCGAUUGCAAAAUCGGAAUGCGUAGUGAAAUCCGGUAAACCCCAUCGGGUGCAAGACCAAGUAGUCCACGAGUCUCCCGACUAGUCGAGAGUACUUCGCUACCCGCGGAGUGAAUUCCAUGAAAAGCUAUAGCCUCAUGGAGUUUGCGUGGAGGGUAGGUCGCUUGAGCCUUGGAGUAAUUCAAGGCCUAGAGAAAUGAUCUUCCCUUGCAAACAAGGACAGAAUCCGGCUUAUCGGCCCAGCUUAGUG